GAUGAAGAACGCAGCGAAAUGCGAUACUUGGUGUGAAUUGCAGAAUCCCGUGAACCAUCGAGUCUUUGAACGCAAGUUGCGCCCGAAGCCAUUAGGCCGAGGCACGCCUGCCUGGGCGUCACACGUCGUUGCCCCCCCAUCUACUCCUUCGGGAUUGCGGGGGGCGGAUGAUGGCCUCCCGUGCGCCUCGUCGCGCGGUUGGCAUAAAUGCCAAGUCCUCGGCGACGCACGCCACGACAAUCGGUGGUUGCGAAACCUCGGUUGCCCGUCGUGUGCGGUCGUCGCGCAUCGAGGGCUCGAAAAAAUUGCCGGGCUCCGGCUCGGCUUUCAACGCGACCCCAGGUCAGGCGGGGUUACCCGCUGAAUUUAAGCAUAUCAAUAAGCGGAGGA
Molecule: unclassified non-coding RNA, 390 nt
Filed under: soil metagenome
Description: partial contains 5.8S ribosomal RNA, internal transcribed spacer 2, and large subunit ribosomal RNA
Rfam family: 5.8S ribosomal RNA (bases 1-121)
Source: RNAcentral